RNAcentral lists this unclassified non-coding RNA (248 nucleotides) under uncultured fungus. Its description in RNAcentral is "partial contains 5.8S ribosomal RNA, internal transcribed spacer 2, and large subunit ribosomal RNA". The record is from RNAcentral. Lineage: Eukaryota; Fungi.
AACGCACAUUGCGCCCCUUGGUAUUCCAUGGGGCAUGCUUGUUCGAGCGUCAUUUGUACUCUCAAGCUUUGCUUGGUGUUGGGUGUUUGUCCUUUCCUUGUGGUUGGACUCGCCUUAAAUUCAUUGGCAGCCAAAGUAUUGGUUUGAAGCGCAGCACAAUUUGCGAUUCUGACUGGUAUUGUUAGCGUCCAGUAAGCACAUUUAACACUUUUGACCUCGGAUCAAGUAAGGAUACCCGCUGAACUUAA